ACGACCUUAGUUGGACAGGAUCUGUUCUAUAGGCUCGUACCUCUGUGUCCUUGAGUACAUAGUAGGCAGGAAACCAAAUUCGGUGGAUGAAUCAUGACUGUGUGAUCAGAGCGUGAUUAAUAACGACUUGAUAUUCCCUCAGAUCAUUGUGGAUGUAGGGGAUCUUUCUCAGUCGAGAUUCCGUUGGCUGGGAUGUUCACACGGUUGUUUGACAGGUU
Molecule: small nucleolar RNA, 218 nt
Organism: Humulus lupulus (European hop)
Lineage: Eukaryota; Viridiplantae; Streptophyta; Magnoliopsida; Rosales; Cannabaceae
Product: small nucleolar RNA U3
Exons: 1
Source: RefSeq, a predicted model, not a curated record